GCUGGGCAUGGUGGCACAUGCCUGAAAUCCCAGCAGCUUGGGAGGCUGAGACAGGAGGAUUGUGAGUUCAAGGUCAGCCUCAGCAAAUAAGUGAGGCCCUAAGCAACUGAACAGACUCUGUCUCUA
Molecule: small RNA, 126 nt
Filed under: Marmota monax (woodchuck)
Lineage: Eukaryota; Metazoa; Chordata; Mammalia; Rodentia; Sciuridae
Source: RNAcentral